Molecule: long non-coding RNA, 391 nt
Filed under: Oryza sativa Indica Group (long-grained rice)
Lineage: Eukaryota; Viridiplantae; Streptophyta; Magnoliopsida; Poales; Poaceae
Description: lncRNA OsMH63_12G013170
Source: RNAcentral
CAUGUUUUGGCGUAUGGGUAUGCUGCUUCUUGGGCGUCCUUUGCGCCAACAUCAGGCAGCUUCUUGCUCGACUCGGACGGCGGCUUCACGCAGCUUCUUGCCAUCCAUGGCGCCGACGGCCACCUCACCUUCAUGCGCACGACGGCGACGUCACGUAGCUUCUUGACAUCCAUGGCGUCGGGGCAUGGUAAGCGGCGGUGGCAAGAUGCGAGCAACGAGGUGAGCCGUGGUGGCGACGUGAUCACAAGUGCUAGAGGUGAGAUACGCAGCAGCCCACGAUGGUUCAAUGUCUAUCUCGGAAGGAAGGGUUACAUGCGAUUGGAGGUGAAGCGACACACGUUUAAUGAGUUUGCAUUCAUCAAGGGGUAUAUUGGUAUAUAGUGACAUCUCA